AGGCCUAUCAGUAUCCUGAGUAGGGCGGGACACGUGAAAUCCCGUUUGAAUCCGCGAGGACCAUCUCGCAAGGCUAAAUACUAACCAGUGACCGAUAGUGAACCAGUACCGUGAGGGAAAGGUGAAAAGAACCCCGGGAGGGGAGUGAAAGAGAACCUGAAACCGUGUGCCUACAAGUAGUCAGAGCCCGUUAACGGGUAAUGGCGUGCCUUUUGUAGAAUGAACCGGCGAGUUGCGUUAGUCAGCAAGGUUAAGUCAGAAAAGACGGAGCCGUAGCGAAAGCGAGUCUGAAGAGGGCGAGCAGUUGGCUGACGCAGACCCGAAACCAAGUGACCUACCCAUGACCAGGUUGAAGGCGCGGUAAAACGCGCUGGAGGACCGAACCCACGUAAGUUGAAAAUUGCGGGGAUGAGUUGUGGGUAGCGGUGAAAUUCCAAACGAACUUGGAGAUAGCUGGUUCUCUCCGAAAUAGCUUUAGGGCUAGCCUCGCAAAGAGGAUGCUGGAGGUAGAGCUCUGUUUGGACUAGGGGCCCGUCAAGGGUUACUGAAUUCAGAUAAACUGCGAAUUCCAGACAUUUAUGUGCGGGAGUCAGACUGCGAGUGAUAAGAUCCGUAGUCGAAAGGGAAACAGCCCAGAUCACCAGUUAAGGUCCCAAAAUUCAUGCUAAGUGGAAAAGGAUGUGGAGUUGCGCAGACAACUAGGACGUUGGCUCAGAAGCAGCCAUCAUUCAAAGAGUGCGUAAUAGCUCACUAGUCGAGUGACGCCGCGCCGAAAAUUUACCGGGGCUAAGCAUGAUACCGAAACUGUGGAUGUGCGUUUAUGCACGUGGUAGGAGAGCGUUCUAGCGGCGGUGAAGCAUGACCGAGAGGACAUGUGGAGCUUCUAGAAGUGAGAAUGCCGGUAUGAGUAACGAAAGACAGGUGAGAAUCCUGUCCGCCGCAAGACUAAGGUUUCCUGGGGCAGGCUCGUCCGCCCAGGGUAAGUCGGGACCUAAGGCGAGGCCGAGAGGCGUAGUCGAUGGACAACAGGUUGAAAUUCCUGUACUGCACCGAAUCGUUAUGAGCGAUGGAGGGACGCAGGAGGCUAGCAGCGCGUGGUGCUGGAUACCACGUUCAAGCGUCAAGUCUGAGAGUGAGUCAAAUGCUUGCUCUCAUAAGGACAAGGCGUGAUGAGGAGCGAAAUUAAAGUAGCGAAGGCUGCGACGUCACACUGCCGAGAAAAGCUUCUAGCCAGAGACGGUGCACCCGUACCGCAAACCGACACAGGUAGUCGAGGAGAGUAUCCUCAGGUGAGCGAGAGAACUCUCGUUAAGGAACUCGGCAAAAUGGCCCCGUAACUUCGGGAGAAGGGGCGCUGGUCGCAAGAUCAGCCGCAGUGAAAAGGCCCAAGCAACUGUUUAUCAAA
This 1405-nucleotide ribosomal RNA is filed under the name Lactobacillus delbrueckii subsp. bulgaricus. RNAcentral describes it as "partial 23S ribosomal RNA". It matches the Rfam family "Bacterial large subunit ribosomal RNA", at positions 393 to 1811 of the family's 2925-position model. The record is from RNAcentral. Lineage: Bacteria; Bacillati; Bacillota; Bacilli; Lactobacillales; Lactobacillaceae.